Molecule: ribosomal RNA, 765 nt
Filed under: Thryssa dussumieri (Dussumier's thryssa)
Lineage: Eukaryota; Metazoa; Chordata; Actinopteri; Clupeiformes; Engraulidae
Description: partial 16S ribosomal RNA
Rfam family: Bacterial large subunit ribosomal RNA
Source: RNAcentral
GCAGAGACUACCCCUCGUACCUUUUGCAUCAUGAUUCAGCCAGUAAAAUACAUGCAAAGAGCCCUCUAGUUUGUAACCCCGAAACCCGACGAGCUACUCCGGGACAGCCUAUCCAGGGCCAACCCGUCUCUGUAGCAAAAGAGUGGGAAGAUCCCCGAGUAGAAGCAACACACCUACCGAGCCGGGUUAUAGCUGGUUGCCCAAUAAAUGAAUAAAAGUUCAGCCCCGCACAGCCCAAUUCACAACAGUCAAACGACAAAAGACAAAGAGCUACUAAGCGGGAGUUAAUCAAAGGAGGUACAGCUCCCUUGAUAGAGGAUACAACCUUGACCGAAGAUUAAAGAAUAUAAUUAAACAAGGCCACAAGUCUCAGUGGGCCUAAAAGCAGCCACCUGCCCAGAAAGCGUUAAAGCUCAGACCAAACUAUGCCUAUUAUCUCAUUCAACACUCCAAAAUCUCCUAAAACACUGGGCCCCUCUAUGUCCCCAUAGAAGAGAUUAUGCUGAAACGAGUAACAAGAAGACCAAACUUCUCCCCGCAUAAGUGUAUGUCGGAUCGGACACACCACCGACAAUUAACGAACCCAAAAACAGAGGGCCCCACACCACAGCCACUCCAGCCAAGAAAAACACGUCCCCCUAAAUCGUUACCCCUACACAGGAAUGCUUGACCAAGGAAAGACUAAAAGAAAAAAAAGGAACUCGGCAAACUUAAACCCCGCCUGUUUACCAAAAACACCGCCUCUUGCAAAACAAAGUAUAAGAG